GCCCCUGUUGUCUAAUGGUUAUGACGUCAGACUUCUAACAGUUCGUGAAUGCGAAGUAAUGUUAUCUGGAGGUUGCGAGUUCGAGUCUCGCCAGGGGUU
Non-coding RNA from Panaeolus papilionaceus, 99 nucleotides. Lineage: Eukaryota; Fungi; Basidiomycota; Agaricomycetes; Agaricales. The record is from the annotation of a GenBank genome assembly.